GAUGAAGAACGCAGCGAAAUGCGAUAAGUAAUGUGAAUUGCAGAAUUCAGUGAAUCAUCGAAUCUUUGAACGCACCUUGCACCCUUUGGCAUUCUGAAGGGUAUGCUCGUUUGAGUGUCAUUGUACUCUCACACUCCCGAUCUUUGCAUUGGGAGCAGUGGACUUGGGUUUGCUGCUUCACCGUCGCUUACCUCAAAUAGGUUAGUGCAACUCUUGGUUGGACAUAGUACGGCGUGAUAAGUGUUCUUCGCCGGUGCCUCGCAAAGAGGGUGGCCGAUCGGGAUGUUGUGCUCCAAACCGUCUUCGGACAAUCUCUGACGACUUGACCCCAAAUCGAGUAAGACUACCCGCUGAACUUAAGCAUAUCAAUAAGCGGAGGA
RNAcentral lists this unclassified non-coding RNA (380 nucleotides) under soil metagenome. RNAcentral describes it as "partial contains 5.8S ribosomal RNA, internal transcribed spacer 2, and large subunit ribosomal RNA". The stretch from base 1 to 120 matches the Rfam family "5.8S ribosomal RNA", at positions 35 to 154 of the family's 154-position model. The record is from RNAcentral.